CCCUUAGAUGUCCGGGGCCGCACGCGCGCUACACUGAAGGAAUCAGCGUGGCUUUCUCCCUGACCCGAAAGGGUUGGGAAACCCGUUGAAUCUCCUUCGUGAUAGGGAUUGGGGCUUGAAAUUGUUCCCCAUGAACGAGGAAUUCCCAGUAAGCGCGAGUCGUAAGCUCGCGUUGAUUACGUCCCUGCCCUUUGUACACACCGCCCGUCGCUCCUACCGAUUGAAUGUUCCGGUGAGCUCUUCGGACUGCGCGGUCUGCAGUUUCUGCGUUCCGUGCGGAAAGUUGCGCAAACCUUAACAUUUAGAGGAAGGAGAAGUCGUAACA
This 325-nucleotide ribosomal RNA is filed under the name uncultured eukaryote. RNAcentral's name for it is "partial 18S ribosomal RNA". It matches the Rfam family "Eukaryotic small subunit ribosomal RNA", at positions 1470 to 1796 of the family's 1831-position model. The record is from RNAcentral.